Molecule: ribosomal RNA, 878 nt
Filed under: uncultured bacterium
Lineage: Bacteria
Description: bacterial SSU rRNA
Rfam family: Bacterial small subunit ribosomal RNA
Source: RNAcentral
CAGGACGAACGGUUGCCGGGGUGCUUUACCCCAGCCAAGUUGAAACGAGAAGAAUUAGAAGCUUGCUUUUUAUUGAGUCGAAUGGCCAAAACGGGGUGAGUAACGGGUAGACAACCUCCCGCAAAGAUGGGGACACCGUUCCGAAAGGACUGCUAAUUCCGAAAGUUGUGUUUCCUCCGCAUGGAGGAUGCAUUAAAGAGGGCCUCUACUUCGUAAGCUAUCGCUUUGCGAGGGGUCUGCGUUUGAUUAGCUAGUUGGUGGGGCAACGGCCCUACCACAGGGCACGAUCAGUAGCCGGUCUGAGAGGAUGAACGGCCACACUUGGAAGUGAGACACGGUCCAGACUCCUACGGGAGGCAGCAGUGGGGAAUCUUCCGCAAUGGGCGAAAGCCUGACGGAGCAACGCCGCGUGAGUGAAGAAGGUCUUCGGAUCGUAAAGCUCUGUUGUCGGGGACGAAUGUUGAGGCCUAGAACAUAGGUUUCAAAUGACGGUACCUGACGAGGAAGCCACGGCUAACUACGUGCCAGCAGUCGCGGUAAUACGUAGGUGGCGAGCGUUGUCCGGAAUUAUUGGGCGUAAAGGGAGCGCAGGCGGGAAGGUAAGUCUAUCUUAAAAGUGCGGGGCUCAACCCCGUGAGGGGAUAGAAACUAUCAUUCUUGAGUGCAGGAGAGGAAAGCGGAAUUCCUAGUGUAGCGCUGAAAUGCGUAGAUAUUAGGAGGAACACCAGUGGCGAAGGCGCCUUUCUGGACUGUAACUGACGCUGAGGCUCGAAAGCCAGGGGAGCGAACGCGAUUAGAUACCCCGGUAGUCCUCGCCGUAAACGAUGAAUGCUAGAUGUAGGAGGUAUCGACCCCUCCUGUGCCGGAGUAACGCAAUA